AGUUGCAGGGUAUAGACCCGAAACCCGGUGAUCUAGCCAUGGGCAGGUUGAAGGUUGGGUAACACUAACUGGAGGACCGAACCGACUAAUGUUGAAAAAUUAGCGGAUGACUUGUGGCUGGGGGUGAAAGGCCAAUCAAACCGGGAGAUAGCUGGUUCUCCCCGAAAGCUAUUUAGGUAGCGCCUCGUGAACUCAUCUUCGGGGGUAGAGCACUGUUUCGGCUAGGGGGUCAUCCCGACUUACCAACCCGAUGCAAACUACGAAUACCGAAGAAUGUUAUCACGGGAGACACACGGCGGGUGCUAACGUUCGUCGUGAAGAGGGAAACAACCCAGACCGCCAGCUAAGGUCCCAAAGUCAUGGUUAAGUGGGAAACGAAGUGGGAAGGCUCAGACAGCCAGGAUGUUGGCUUAGAAGCAGCCAUCAUUUAAAGAAAGCGUAAUAGCUCACUGGUCGAGUCGGCCUGCGCGGAAGAUGUAACGGGGCUAAACCAUGCACCGAAGCUGCGGCAGCGACAUGUAAAUGUUGUUGGGUAGGGGAGCGUUCUGUAAGCCUGUGAAGGUGUGCUGCGAGGCAUGCUGGAGGUAUCAGAAGUGCGAAUGCUGACAUAAGUAACGAUAAUGCGGGUGAAAAACCCGCACGCCGGAAGACCAAGGGUUCCUGUCCAACGUUAAUCGGGGCAGGGUGAGUCGACCCCUAAGGCGAGGCAGAAAUGCGUAGUCGAUGGGAAACAGGUUAAUAUUCCUGUACUGGUGAUAAUUGCGAUGGGGGGACGGAGAAGGCUAGGCUGGCCGGGCGACGGUUGUCCCGGUUUAAGGAUGUAGGUGGG
RNAcentral lists this ribosomal RNA (829 nucleotides) under Providencia stuartii. Its description in RNAcentral is "partial 23S ribosomal RNA". It matches the Rfam family "Bacterial large subunit ribosomal RNA", at positions 698 to 1528 of the family's 2925-position model. Lineage: Bacteria; Pseudomonadati; Pseudomonadota; Gammaproteobacteria; Enterobacterales; Morganellaceae. The record is from RNAcentral.